AGUGAACGCUGGCGGUAGGCCUAACACAUGCAAGUCGAACGGCAGCACAGUAAGAGCUUGCUCUUACGGGUGGCGAGUGGCGGACGGGUGAGGAAUACAUCGGAAUCUACUUUUUCGUGGGGGAUAACGUAGGGAAACUUACGCUAAUACCGCAUACGACCUACGGGUGAAAGCAGGGGAUCUUCGGACCUUGCGCGAUUGAAUGAGCCGAUGUCGGAUUAGCUAGUUGGCGGGGUAAAGGCCCACCAAGGCGACGAUCCGUAGCUGGUCUGAGAGGGUGAUCAGCCACACUGUAACUGAGACACGGUCCAGACUCCUACGGGAGGCAGCAGUGGGGAAUAUUGGACAAUGGGCGCAAGCCUGAUCCAGCCAUACCGCGUGGGUGAAGAAGGCCUUCGGGUUGUAAAGCCCUUUUGUUGGGAAAGAAAAGCAGCAGGUUAAUACCCCGCUGUUCUGACGGUACCCAAAGAAUAAGCACCGGCUAACUUCGUG
RNAcentral lists this ribosomal RNA (492 nucleotides) under uncultured bacterium. RNAcentral's name for it is "partial 16S ribosomal RNA". It matches the Rfam family "Bacterial small subunit ribosomal RNA", at positions 29 to 507 of the family's 1533-position model. The record is from RNAcentral.